CGGUACGUACUGGUAUUGUUGGUUCCUCCCUUCUGACGAACCAUGAUGUCAUUUAUUUGGUGUUGUGGGGAAUCAGGACUGUUACUUUGAAAAAAUUAGAGUGUUUAAAGCAGGCUCACGCUUGAAUACAUUAGCAUGGAAUAAUGAAAUAGGACGUUUGAUUCUAUUUUGUUGGUUUCUAGGAUCGACGUAAUGAUUAAUAGGGAUAGUUGGGGGCAUUAGUAUUCAAUUGUCAGAGGUGAAAUUCUUGGAUUUAUUGAAGACUAACUACUGCGAAAGCAUUUGCCAAGGAUGUUUUCAUUAAUCAAGAACGAAAGUUAGGGGAUCGAAGACGAUCAGAUACCGUCGUAGUCUUAACCAUAAACUAUGCCGACUAGGGAUCGGAUGAUGUUAAUUUUUUAAUGACUCAUUCGGCACCUUACG
This 423-nucleotide ribosomal RNA is filed under the name uncultured Glomeromycotina. Its description in RNAcentral is "SSU rRNA". It matches the Rfam family "Eukaryotic small subunit ribosomal RNA", at positions 671 to 1092 of the family's 1831-position model. The record is from RNAcentral. Lineage: Eukaryota; Fungi; Glomeromycota.